GCUGACACUAGAGUAACAUCCUGACACAGCUCUUGUCCUGGUGUGCUAGAGUUCUCGAUGAAUCUACUGGUCUUGAUUCACUGGCAGGAGCAAUCAGUGGCUGUUAGUAUGCAUAUUUAAAACAUGG
Molecule: small nucleolar RNA, 127 nt
Organism: Pongo abelii (Sumatran orangutan)
Lineage: Eukaryota; Metazoa; Chordata; Mammalia; Primates; Hominidae
Source: Ensembl